RNAcentral lists this small RNA (148 nucleotides) under Arabidopsis thaliana (thale cress). RNAcentral describes it as "ATSL307290". The record is from RNAcentral. Lineage: Eukaryota; Viridiplantae; Streptophyta; Magnoliopsida; Brassicales; Brassicaceae.
AAAAAUAGAUGAUUGAGAAGAGAGCUCAUAUUCUAUGGGUGUAUAUGAGUCUAUCAUGCCCAGUAAUAGAGCAGAUCAGAAUUUUAAUCUUGUUUUUUUAUAAUCAUCGCUCUCUUCUCCCAUCAAAUUUUGGCAAAUACAAUAACGU